Molecule: long non-coding RNA, 1196 nt
Organism: Salmo salar (Atlantic salmon)
Lineage: Eukaryota; Metazoa; Chordata; Actinopteri; Salmoniformes; Salmonidae
Source: RefSeq, a predicted model, not a curated record
UGAGAAACUGGAGCUAAGGUUGUUAAAAUGGAUUAGAGGUAGAUUGCCUCAAUUGCGUUACAGAAGGUGCUCCAAUUCUCAUUUAUACUAAAACAAUUUGUUGUGUGGAACUGUGAAAGUUCCAUAGGGGGGGAUUAUGUUAGAGAAUUUCCAGUCAUCUGGUGAUUUUCAGUACCUAUACUGUUUUCUUUGAAGUAGAAUGUAGAAUCGAUAUAAGGUUAGAUAUUAUACAGUACAUGUGUAAGCAGAAUGAAGGCUGAGCCCAUGUGAGUGUACAAAGCUGGAUCAACUUCGAGUUAACCAUUAGACAUGUAAAAAACUGAAUGUUAGCAGAAUCCUUGUGGAUGAGGCAUGGUAGACCAACACAAGACGUGACUGGUCUGGGCCAUAUCUGAUCUUGUGAAGGCUACUGGACAUACACAUGGGUUAAUCAUACAUAGACAAGAACUUGUGAACUUGAGCACAUUAACUUGUGAAGACCUUUGCACAGGAUCAUUAGCUAAUCAGUUAUAGGCACCAUUAGACCUGCAGUAGGAGUGUGCAUGUCUGUUUGUCACGCCACCAAUAGAAUCUAUGUCCUAAUGUCUGAGCCAAUAAGAAAAGCAACAAGAUUAGGGUGGCCAAGGCUAGAAGGUAUCAAUCAUUUACAUAAAAGUGGGGUGACGAUGUUACGUAAGGGUAAGACUGUGUAAAAGCAGAGUACUAAGAAUGGAGAGUCAGUUCUUCCAUGGAAUUGCUCGGGAUUGUUACUUUUUGUACGAAAGUUUAUUUGAAUUCACAAGCUCCGGUAUCUGAGAAAUAUUUGAUUCAAUAUUUCCACGACACUUCCUGAGUGGUUUGACGGCUGCGUGGUCCCAUGUGGUUUAUGCUUGCGUACUAUUGUUUGUACAGAUGAACAUGGUACCUUCAGGCGUUUGGAAAUUGCUCCCAAGGAUGAAACAGACUUGUGGAGGUCUUGGCUGAUUUCUUUUGAUUUUCCCAUGAUGUCAAGCAAAGAGCCACUGAGUUUGAAGGAUUACAUCUGUGAGGACACGAUUGCUGGAGGGUUGUGAUGCACGAGGUGCAGUGGAGACGCUGGGGCUGGGAGCACUCAGGUCCUGCUCAGCUGCAGCACCACUGACCUGGCUGGAACACGCAGCGACUAAAAACAAUAGAAAAUGUCACUAUUGUUUGUGUAAAUAAAUGUUUAAACACAA